RNAcentral lists this ribosomal RNA (50 nucleotides) under Tuber aestivum var. uncinatum (Burgundy truffle). RNAcentral's name for it is "Tuber uncinatum (Burgundy truffle) partial 18S ribosomal RNA". The record is from RNAcentral. Lineage: Eukaryota; Fungi; Ascomycota; Pezizomycetes; Pezizales; Tuberaceae.
CCCUAAUAGGUCAGGCAUAAGACAUAUAUUAACAAGACCGAGGUAGACGC